UCCAGCAGGGCACAGAGAAUUGAGUGCAGAAGCUUUGGCUUCGGAUACAAGCACUCCUGCCACUUGAGGAGAAGAUGACUCUGACUUCAGUCUGCAGCAAUAAGUGGGUGCUGCCUUAUCACAGUGUAAGAGCACACAUAUGGCAACUUCUGCAGAGCAGUCCAUCAGGAACUGCACAUCCAGUUUACCCUAAGACAGUGGUGCAGUGAGACCUUGCAGCCAACGCAGCGCCAGUGCAGGACUCCCCAGGGCACGGAAACAGCUGUGGGAAGGGAGGGCAGCGACCACCUCCAUCCCUGCGCUGUGCCAUGGGCUGUGCUGCUGGCCACGACCUGAGCAGAGUGCUCCAAACCCAGCUGUAUGAGUAACAAGAGGAGAAGAAGUAACCGAAGUGGCAGGGGGCAGCCACUCUGACAGCAGGCCGGGGCAUAAGCCAGCCUAAUAAAGUGAGAUUAUU
Molecule: long non-coding RNA, 457 nt
Organism: Phasianus colchicus (ring-necked pheasant)
Lineage: Eukaryota; Metazoa; Chordata; Aves; Galliformes; Phasianidae
Source: RefSeq, a predicted model, not a curated record